Molecule: ribosomal RNA, 913 nt
Filed under: uncultured bacterium
Lineage: Bacteria
Description: bacterial SSU rRNA
Rfam family: Bacterial small subunit ribosomal RNA
Source: RNAcentral
UAGUUGGUGGGGUAAAGGCCUACCAAGGCGACGAUCAGUAGCGGGUCUGAGAGGAUGAUCCGCCACACUGGAACUGAGACACGGUCCAGACUCCUACGGGAGGCAGCAGUGGGGAAUUUUGGACAAUGGGGGCAACCCUGAUCCAGCCAUUCCGCGUGAGUGAAGAAGGCCUUCGGGUUGUAAAGCUCUUUCAGCUGGAACGAAACGGUACAUCCUAAUACGGUGUGCUAAUGACGGUACCAGCAGAAGAAGCACCGGCUAACUACGUGCCAGCAGCCGCGGUAAUACGUAGGGUGCGAGCGUUAAUCGGAAUUACUGGGCGUAAAGCGUGCGCAGGCGGAUUGUUAAGCAAGAUGUGAAAUCCCCGGGCUUAACCUGGGAAUGGCAUUUUGAACUGGCAGUCUAGAGUGUGUCAGAGGGGGGUGGAAUUCCACGUGUAGCAGUGAAAUGCGUAGAGAUGUGGAGGAACACCAAUGGCGAAGGCAGCCCCCUGGGAUAACACUGACGCUCAUGUACGAAAGCGUGGGUAGCAAACAGGAUUAGAUACCCUGGUAGUCCACGCCCUAAACGAUGUCAACUGGUUGUUGGGGGAGUGAAAUCCCUUAGUAACGAAGCUAACGCGUGAAGUUGACCGCCUGGGGAGUACGGUCGCAAGAUUAAAACUCAAAGGAAUUGACGGGGACCCGCACAAGCGGUGGAUGAUGUGGAUUAAUUCGAUGCAACGCGAAAAACCUUACCUACCCUUGACAUGUCCAGAAUCCUGCAGAGAUGCGGGAGUGCCCGGAAGGGAAUUGGAACACAGGUGCUGCAUGGCUGUCGUCAGCUCGUGUCGUGAGAUGUUGGGUUAAGUCCCGCAACGAGCGCAACCCUUAUCAUUAGUUGCUACGCAAGGGCACUCUAAUGAGACUGCCGG